This 395-nucleotide ribosomal RNA is filed under the name uncultured bacterium. RNAcentral's name for it is "partial 16S ribosomal RNA". It matches the Rfam family "Bacterial small subunit ribosomal RNA", at positions 523 to 918 of the family's 1533-position model. The record is from RNAcentral.
AUACGUAGGGUGCAAGCGUUAAUCGGAAUUACUGGGCGUAAAGCGUGCGCAGGCGGUUUUGUAAGACAGUGGUGAAAUCCCCGGGCUCAACCUGGGAACUGCCAUUGUGACUGCAAGGCUGGAGUGCGGCAGAGGGGGAUGGAAUUCCGCGUGUAGCAGUGAAAUGCGUAGAUAUGCGGAGGAACACCGAUGGCGAAGGCAAACCCCUGGGCCUGCACUGACGCUCAUGCACGAAAGCGUGGGGAGCAAACAGGAUUAGAUACCCUGGUAGUCCACGCCCUAAACGAUGUCAACUGGUUGUUGGGGAUUUAUUUUCUCAGUAACGAAGCUAACGCGUGAAGUUGACCGCCUGGGGAGUACGGCCGCAAGGUUAAAACUCAAAUGAAUUGACGGGG